This 72-nucleotide transfer RNA is filed under the name Candidatus Bathyarchaeota archaeon. RNAcentral's name for it is "tRNA-Phe". The record is from RNAcentral. Lineage: Archaea; Thermoproteati; Candidatus Bathyarchaeota.
CCGCCGUAGCGUAGCUUGGUAGCGCAGAGGCCUGAAAAGUCUCUAGGGCGGGUUCAAAACACCCCUGGUAGG